UCGCCCCCCCAUCCCCUUCCCCUAUAAAUCGGCGAGCGUGUCUCCGCCUCUCGCUUCCCCAAAUUUCCAUCAACCUCCUUCUCCUCCUCCUCCACCCAUAUCGGCGGUCUCGAUCCACUUCGAGCCCCCCCCCCCCCCUCAUUCCCCUCCGCGUCGCCUGCCCAAUCCUGCUUCUCCUUAACCUACCCCGACUCGCUUCGAGAAUUAGGGUUUCGUUUGCGGAGGAUCCUUCGCGCGGUCGCGUCCAAACCCUAGGACCGUUUCUUGAUUCCUGGGAUCCCGUCUUGGAGGCUCGAGCGUCCUCGCUUGGGUGCGGAAAACCCUCGCGCUGUGCUCGAUCGGCCCUGUCGAGGGGUCGUUCCCGGCCUGUCAGACCCGAUGGAGGCUCCCUCGGGCCUUGGCGGAGCCGUUCCCGUGCCCGCAUCCCAGGCUGCCAAAAAGGAGUGGCGUGCCAUCCCCGAGCACUCCUUUCGGAGCAACGGAAGCGAGGAGCAAGAGCAUGUUAAAUUGGGACAAUCAGCUGAGAGAACGAUACACGAGGUGCAGGUGGGUACAGGGUCGCGGGUGGACUACUGUGCGAUCACAAUUGAUGCUGAUGAUGCCGAGUUGAAUGGUGAUAUAUUGCAGCGGAAGCUGCAAGAAAUCAUGAGGCAAAGAGAAGAGCUUCAGCAAAUGGAGAUUGAACUACAGGCCAGGGUGAUUGCCAGGUCAGAGAUCUUGGAAGUGCAGAAUAGUUUUGAAGUGCAGCUCAAGGAGCACAUGAAUAUCAAUGCCGAUCUAAAGGAGCAACUACAUGAAAGGGAACAAAGCAUACUUGAGCUGGAGAGGAAACUAGAAGAGAAGGAUAGGGAGCUACGAGCUAUGAAAAUUGACACAGAAGCGGCAUGGGCUAAAGAAGAUCUUCUCCGAGAACAAAACAAAGAGCUAGCCACCUUCAGAAGGGAGCUUGAUAAUUCGGAAGCAGAAAGAGCACAACAUAUGAGCCAAAUUCGUGAUCUCCAAGAACAUAUUCAAGAGAAAGAGAGUCAGAUCCUUGCAUUGCAGGAGGAGCAUAGAGUUGCACGAGAAACUAUUCUUUUCAAGGAUGAACAGUUAAGGGAGGCACAAGCUUGGGUUGCACGGGUUCAAGAAAUGGAUGCUUUGCAGUCCUCCACUAACCAGUCGUUGCAAGCUGAACUAAGAGAACGCACAGAGCAGUUUAACCAAUAUUGGAUUGGUUUUCAAAGGCAGUUUGUUGAAAUGGAGCGUCAUCAUCUGCAAGCCAUACAGCAGCUUCAGCUGGAAUUGGCUGAGGCAAGGAAAAAGAAUGGAAAUUAUGAAGAUGGUUCACAAAUUACUCAUGAAAACUCAACCGAUUCAUCUUCGUAUAAUGGAAAUCAGAUUAAUGUGAUAGAUGGUGGCAAAUCAAAUGGUCACUUGGGAUUUGCAUCUAAUGGAAGUGUAGAUGGGACUUCAUCUCAUGUUUUAUCUUCCAGUUCAUCUUCUAAGAUUGAACAUGCCCCCAGUGUUCCUGUUGUGCCAUCGUCCAUACUUGGAAUGAAUGCCUUCAUUCCUCCUGGCCCAGUGGCUGCAUUACAUCCUUAUGUAAUGAAUCCAUUAGGUGUUCCACAAGCUGUAGCUUCCAGCAAUUCACCUAUUCCACAAUCUCACAUAGAUCAUUUUCAAUCAGUGCCUGUGGUUCUAACUCAACAACAUUUGCAAAAUCAACAGGCCCUUUCAGAUAUCUCACAGAUACCUGAAAGCAAGCAUCCACCAUCACAGACAGAGCAGGAAUUUUUAAGAUCAGAUACCCAUUAUAGCUUUGAUAUGCCUGGUGAAAUGCAGAUGGUUCAUCUAGACAAUCUUAACAGCCAUAGAGACCAGCAACAGAUGUCUGGACAUUCAGGCUUUGACUCUAGUGAUGAAGUCCAGGUGCUCCAAUCAAAUGUGAAACAGCACCCAGUUAUCCAAGAAUCACAAGGGACCUCAGAUGCACCUUCUCACUUGGACUCUGCAAGAGGGUUCGUGCCACCAGAAAAGAAGAAUGCAACCAAGGCCGAGGACAUUGUGGCUGCAGGGAAACAAUCACAAGAGCAGGUGCCGAGAACUGGACAACAACAACCUACAUCUAACAUAAUGUUAUCCGCUAGUAAAAACUCUGUCAGUUCAAAUGAAUCUACCGCCUUGGCUGCCCCAAUUUCAAGUACUUUGAUGUCUAGUAAACCACCAGUGGAUCCCAAUCUCUUAGAUGAAAGAUCACUUUUGGCUUGCAUUGUGCGUGCAGUGCCUGCUGGAUCAGAUGGAAGAAUCAGAAUCAGUACGACGCUACCAAAUAGGCUUGGCAAAAUGCUUGCGCCCCUUCAUUGGCAUGACUAUAAGAAGCAUUAUGGAAAGCUUGAUGAUUUUGUUACUCGUCAUCCUGAAUUAUUUGUUAUUGAAGGUGACUUUAUCCACCUUCGAGAAGGAGCCCAGCAAAUUAUAUCUGCAACUGCAGCUGUUGCUAAAGUUGCUGCUGCUACUGCAUCUUCUGCUCCUUACACAUCGUUGUUGCCAUCAGUUGCUGUCACCCCAGUUUCUCAAGUCAAUCGCCAAAAAAAGGUACAAUCAAUUGAAUCAAAAACUGCAAACACUAUGCCCUAUGCAGAUGGUGCUGCUGUGAUUAAUGCUGGAGAGACUAGUGACAAACGCACCCAGAUUUUGAUGAGACAGGAUGAACAACCAAAUGGUGUCAGAUUAAAUAUUAUUCAGGGGCUAUCGGAUGUAACAGUUUCAAGUAAAUCAAAGAAUAUCCAAGAAGCUAAUGGUUCACAAUCGGAAAUCAAGUCUGGUCACUCAUCUCUGUACUUCAAGGUUGGAAACACAGCAAACCUUGAUAGAACAGGUUUGUCUCCUCCUCAAAACAAAGGACUGACUAAUGGAAGACAUAGUUUUGGAGGAAAGCAGCUGGGGAGGUCUUCUGGGGCUGGCUUAAUUUCAAGGAGAUAGAGCCACUGAUUGAAUGGAAAUUGCUGCCAAAUGGAAGUUUGAAGAUAAUUUACUCAGGAUAAAGCUCUGUGUCAUCUUUUUGACUGAAAUGUGUCAGCUCUUGGUGUUGAGAAGAGACGAGAGCUCUUGCUGGGAGAUUGGCUAUCUACUGAUCCUUAGAGAUCCGUAGUUACUGAAAUGUGUCGAUGGACUUGUUAGGCUGUGGAUUUAUGAUGGCCCCUUGCUCUUUUUGUAGUAUAAAGCUGUGAGUCUCUUCAGUAUUAACAAUUCACGUCUCUCAGGCGAAAUCAAUAAAAAGAGGCUAUCGCAAGACGCGGGUGUGGCGACUAAGGUGUUCUGCUUAUAUUUUAUCUGCACACUAUUGCGUGUGAAAUAUGUUUAAUUUACUUAUAAAUGAUGCCUAUUUUAUGUUCCUUCGUUUGACGUUGUAACUUCGUGUUGUAAUAAUUUCUUAGGUAUCGCAUUUCCCA
Molecule: RNA transcript, 3434 nt
Organism: Musa acuminata AAA Group (dessert banana)
Lineage: Eukaryota; Viridiplantae; Streptophyta; Magnoliopsida; Zingiberales; Musaceae
Exons: 17
Source: RefSeq, a predicted model, not a curated record